GAUUUGUCUGGUUAAUUCCGAUAACGAACGAGACCUUAACCUGCUAACUAGUCGCUUUUAUUUCGAUAAUUGUUGACUUCUUAGAGGGACUAUGUGCUUUAAGUACAUGGAAGUUUGAAGCAAUAACAGGUCUGUGAUGCCCUUAUAUGUCCUGGGCUGCACGCGUGCUACACUGAUGCAUACAAUAAGUGCCUAGUCAGCCAUGGCAUGGCAAUCUCUAAUAUGCAUCGUGAUGGGGAUAGAUCUUUGCAAUUAUAGAUCUUGAACGAGGAAUUCCUAGUAAGUGCAAGUCAUCAUCUUGCAUUGAUUAUGUCCCUGCCCUUUGUACACACCGCCCGUCGCUCCUACCGAUACCGGGUGGUUCGGUGAACCUUUUGGACCUCGAAAGAGGAAAGAUAAGUAAAUCAUAUCACCUAGAGGAAGGAGAAGUCGUAACAAGGUUUCCGUAGGUGAACCUGCRGAAGGAUCA
This 469-nucleotide ribosomal RNA is filed under the name uncultured ciliate. RNAcentral's name for it is "SSU rRNA". It matches the Rfam family "Eukaryotic small subunit ribosomal RNA". Lineage: Eukaryota; Ciliophora. The record is from RNAcentral.